Molecule: ribosomal RNA, 647 nt
Filed under: uncultured archaeon
Lineage: Archaea
Description: bacterial SSU rRNA
Rfam family: Archaeal small subunit ribosomal RNA
Source: RNAcentral
GUACGGCUCUGAGAGGAGGGCACCGGAGAUGGGUACUGAGACACGGACCCAGGCCCUAUGGGGCGCAGCAGGCGAGAAACCUUUGCAAUGUGCGAAAGCACGACAAGGUUAAUCCGAGUGUCUCCUGCUAAAGGAGUCUUUUGUCAGUUGUAGAAUCACUGGUGAAUAAGGGGUGGGCAAGUUCUGGUGUCAGCCGCCGCGGUAAAACCAGCACCUCGAGUGGUCAGGAGGUUUAUUGGGCCUAAAGCAUCCGUAGCCGGUUGCAUAAGUUUUCGGUUAAAUCUAUGCGCUUAACGUAUAGGCCGCCGAAAAUACUGUGCAGCUAGGGAGUGGGAGAGGUACACGGUACUCGAUAGGAAGGGGUAAAAUCCUUUGAUCUAUUGAAGACCACCUGUGGCGAAGGCGGUGUACCAGAACACGUUCGACGGUGAGGGAUGAAAGCUGGGGGAGCAAACCGGAUUAGAUACCCGGGUAGUCCCAGCUGUAAACGAUGCAGGCUCGGUGAUGCAUUGGCUUGUGGCCAAUGCAGUGCCGCAGGGAAGCCGUUAAGUCUGCCGCCUGGGAAGUACGUACGCAAGUAUGAAACUAAAGGAAUUGGCGGGGGAGCACCACAAGGGGUGAAGCCUGCGGUUCAAUUGGAUCAACGC